This 69-nucleotide transfer RNA is filed under the name Dalcantha dilatata. RNAcentral's name for it is "tRNA-Met". The record is from RNAcentral. Lineage: Eukaryota; Metazoa; Arthropoda; Insecta; Hemiptera; Tessaratomidae.
AGAAAGAUAAACUAAAAAAGUUAUCAGGUUCAUACCCUGCUUAUAGGAAAUAGACACACCUUCUUUCUA